This is a long non-coding RNA of Trachemys scripta elegans, 1145 nucleotides long. RefSeq lists it as uncharacterized. Lineage: Eukaryota; Metazoa; Chordata; Testudines; Emydidae. The record is from RefSeq and is a predicted model, not a curated record. The transcript has 3 exons.
CAGGUCAUAGGAAGAAGCAGGCCACUGCAGAGACUAAGCAACUACUAGCAGCGGACCCUCAACAAAGAGAGUUGCUACAGCACACCCAGCCACAAGGAGGCACCAGCAGUUGUUAACCAAAACAAUUAAUCAGAUCAAUUGGAGAAGCUUAUGGUGGAGAAAAGUGGAGAUUAGUCUUAUUCCAUUAAAUGGAGUUCCAAUCCUCCCUUGCCAACUUUAUUUGUAGAACCCCAAUAAGAAAAGAGCUGUGAAUGAAAUUCCCAUCAAUAACACAGAAAGUUAACAGACGAGUCCCCUCAAAGGAUUUAUAAGAACAGACAUUAUGUGCAAAGGAAAUCAUCAUGCAGGGACUGCACCAAGAUAAAACUAAUGGAGACUAUAAAGGGCAUCUAUUUACAAGGAACUUUGCAAAAAGCAGCCAUUUUCUCUGUCUUUAAUUGCAGAGAAAUUAAGCAGUGAUUUUUAAAAUUCGAUGAUAGCAAGUAUUAUUCAUUUACUUUUCUGUUUAACUCUUGAUCUUAGAGUUUACACCCCGUAAGGAUGUAAUGAUGCAACACAGUUUUAAGCUUAAAAAUGUUGUGUUCUCCUUUCAAUGGAGAAGUGCUAUUUAGUAUUAACCCUCAUGUAUAGUGUUGAGUAUAAACUGUUUCCUAUUACUUGCACUGCAAGUAUGUCAGAUUAAUGACAGGAUGUGCAUUUUAUAGCAGAAUGUCAGCCUCAAAUAUUUGUGUAAUUGUAAUCACUACAAAAGCAUCUUUCCACAAGGAAUAGUAGUUUCCAACAUCUGUGUAAACUGUGAGACCACAUAGUGAAAGCUAUUACUACAUGCGACUGAAUUGGGAGAUUUUGAUGACUUCUGUACAACGUAGCAGCACACAAGCCAGUUUGUAUUAAGGAUUUUAAAGUGGGGUUCUUAUGCUGGAAUGUGACUCUGAAAAUUGUAAUGUAGAGUUCUAUGGUUGUAUCUCAAUUACGUCAGAUAAAGGCCAAAAUUUUCAGAAGCAGCUGCUAAUUCUAAGUGCAAUUUCUGGUCUCAAAAACUGAGGCUGAGGUUGAUUUGCACCCAAGAUGAGAUGCAGGUACUCUGCUCCUCUGAAAAUCAAGCCAAAACAGUCUCAAGUUUGUCACUCAGAACUUGAGACUCU